Melopsittacus undulatus (budgerigar) is the source of this 206-nucleotide long non-coding RNA. RefSeq lists it as uncharacterized. The transcript has 3 exons. Lineage: Eukaryota; Metazoa; Chordata; Aves; Psittaciformes; Psittaculidae. The record is from RefSeq and is a predicted model, not a curated record.
AUCGAUCAGAAGAUAAAUCCAGUGCAUGAGUGGACCCUGAAGGUGAGGGUUGCUGCUAUUUCCCUUGCCUUUCCAGGGCUGGGCAGGCCAUUUAACUUCAUGAAGCUAUUGUGCAUCAACACUGAAGCUUCAACAAACCCACUGCACAUGGGAGAGAUGAACACUCAGUGAAACUGCUGAGGUAAGUCAAAUUGGUUGGAAUUAAG